UAUUGGUCAAUGGGGGCAACCCUGAACCAGCCAUGCCGCGUGCAGGACGACUGCCCUAUGGGUUGUAAACUGCUUUUGCCAGGGAAUAAACCCGGUCACGAGUGUCUGGCUGAACGUACCUGGAGAAUAAGGAUCGGCUAAUUCCGUGCCAGCAGCCGCGGUAAUACGGAGGAUCCGAGCGUUAUCCGGAUUUAUUGGGUUUAAAGGGUGCGUAGGCGGCACUUUAAGUCAGGGGUGAAAUACGGCAGCUCAACUGUCGCAGUGCCCUUGAUACUGAAGUGCUUGAAUGCGGUUGAAGACGGCGGAAUGAGACAAGUAGCGGUGAAAUGCAUAGAUAUGUCUCAGAACACCGAUUGCGAAGGCAGCUGUCUAAGCCGUUAUUGACACUGAUGCACGAAAGCGUGGGGAUCGAACAG
Molecule: ribosomal RNA, 416 nt
Filed under: uncultured bacterium
Lineage: Bacteria
Description: bacterial SSU rRNA
Rfam family: Bacterial small subunit ribosomal RNA
Source: RNAcentral